Molecule: non-coding RNA, 71 nt
Organism: Podarcis lilfordi (Lilford's wall lizard)
Lineage: Eukaryota; Metazoa; Chordata; Lepidosauria; Squamata; Lacertidae
Source: the annotation of a GenBank genome assembly
UGAAUAGCUCAGUUGGUAGAGUGUGAGACUCUUAAUCUUGGGGUCUUGGGUUCAAGUCUCAUGUUGGGCAA